RNAcentral lists this long non-coding RNA (4195 nucleotides) under Homo sapiens (human). Its description in RNAcentral is "non-protein coding lnc-ZNF837-1:1". Lineage: Eukaryota; Metazoa; Chordata; Mammalia; Primates; Hominidae. The record is from RNAcentral.
AGUCCUGCGGCACAUCUCCAAUGGCUCCCACUGCCAAGGGCAUGCCCCAGCCGUGCAUCAAAGACCUCCCCCUGGAAUCAUACGCAGAUCUCCUGCCCUCCUCCAACUCUGCCCUGGCACACGCCGCCCCCCACCUGGUGGGCCCCCUCAUUCCUCGGAGGCAUCCUCUGCUCACCUCCGCCUCCCCGGCCAUUGGACCGUGCGGGCAGAACCCGUGGACUGGACCCACGGCCUCAGCCGAAACGCGUCCCGGGCGCGGAAACCCUCGGCCGCCGUGGAACCUUCCCGGGAAGCUCUCCCCGCGCGGGUGAAAUGCGUCCGAAGACAGGGAACCGCUUCCCGGAGCCGCUGGGAAGGAGGACGGUACGGAGGCCCGGGAGACCCACGGCGCCUGUCCGCGAGCGAUAAGUCUGAGGAAGAUGGAGCCACUCGCCGGUGGGGCACGGCGCGUGGAAGGCGCGGCAAAGGUCCCUGCCCUUCACCUCGCGCAGGGGAUCGCGAGGAAGUCACCCCGGCCCACGCAGAGCUGCCUGAGGCGCCGGGACAGCCUUCCCGCCGAGGACUGCGGACUGCCGGGCAACGCCGGAACUCCCGGAACUCCCGUGGCCCGCGCCUCCCCUCGCUCGGCGCCCCUCACGCCACGACCUCCAUUCCCGGCUCUCCUCGCGGCGCGGCUGGGUCGUUGCCAAGGCGAUAAGGGAGGGCGCCGCUAGCUCCUGAAGCGGGACGUGAACUACAUUUCCCAUAAGGAGCCUCGACGUGGGGCCGUUCAGACUUGGCCAAUGGCGGCCCAGGAACGGGAACGUUCGGGCGGGCCCUGCGUGGGGCGGGGCUUCCGGCGUCGGCUUUCGGCGCUGGCUUUGGGGCGGUUUGCGGCAGUGGGAUCAUUGGGCGGUGGGCGGUGUGGAGGAGUCUCCGCUGGUCCGCAGAAACGAACGAAGGCGCGAGAAUCGGGAAGUUCUGCCUCAGUGACCUGUACGCGUCCUAGCCGCAGUGAAUGUUGCUGAACCCCGGUGACCUCACAGUGGAGGGGCGGCCCCAUGGGGCCAUCGGACCGCGCCGCGCGGGGGCGUUCGCCAGGGCCUCCGCAGAAGCCCGCCUGUGCCCGCAACCGCCCCGAAAUUCUCUCCCUGGCACCGUGUCCGCUUUACGGAGCCCGGAGCAAGGCUCAGAAAAAUGUCCCAGCCAAAAACAUGUCGCUGUUGGUCGUGGCACUGAGGCCCAGAUCAUGCCACCUCCUCUAACAAGUGGCUGAGUGGACACCCCACACAUUCUACCCAAGGGCCGUGAGUGGCCAAGAUCGGGGCUCAGAAGUCUCUGAAUCUUCACAGCUGGUCACGUUCAGCUCGGUCACUUCCUGUCUGUGUUUGUCUUGGAGUAAGGAUUAUUCUCGCUUGCUGGGGUCAUGGUGUUUUGGCCUCUCCUGGCCUGGACUCUCAAAAACUCAUCAUCCUUCAUAGGUCUGAAGGCUUCUACAUUCCCACCAGCAGGUGGACCAUAUGAACUCAAAACUAGUUGUGGCAGAGGGACCCUGAAGAGAUCUACCCCUGGUGAAUGCCCCCAGGAGUGGGCUGUUCUCACACCUGGUGCCCAGCCUGUGCCCUCGCAGGUCUUGGUGCCUCCACUCAGCUCAAUUCCAGUUUUCUGGCCAUGCCCCGCUGUGUCCCUUUCUCUCUCCUUAGUGCCUAGCUGUGCAAUGUUUGCCUCUCCUUAACAUGUCCUCAGCUGACCCCAUAUCCUCAGUCCUUGCAACCCUGUUCCUCAGUGACACCUGUGUAUUCUCUCCAGUGGAGACACAGGUGGGACACCCCCAAGCUCAUGGUACAUGCCUGUCAUCAGUACCCCUGGACUGUCAUGGUGGGUCAGUCUGCCCUAGGCUGGACUGACCAACCUGUUCAUUCCCCCACAGGAUUGCCCUUUACAGUUCAUGAGUUCCCCCAACUGGAGUGCAGACAAGAGCACUGAUUGAUGGACCAGGUAGACUUGAAACCAGGAAUAGCACAAAAGUUAUCAAAGAGGCUCAGCCAUGGAGAUUGCAAGCUGGGGAUGGAAGUAUCCCUGGAAUUGAGCUGUUCUCACACCUGGUACCUGAGUUAUACCCCUGGUGUCUGGGUACCAAGGUCACUAGCCUUGCCACUUUUCUAUGUUCCUGAUCCCCUACUAAACAGUCCACCUUUUCGCCUACUUCCCCUGACUCCUGUACCCUGUCCCCUCUUUCUGCCUAGUUUGAAGACACUGGUCAUCCCAUAACAUGUCCUGGGCUAAUACAUAUCCUCAAAUCGUUCUUGAAAAUCUGUUCCUCUUCCCUCCUCCCCCUCCCCCUCCCCCCCCCCCCGCUCUUUCCACGGUCUCCCUCUGAUGCCGAGCCGAAGCUGGACGGUACUGCUGCCAUCUCGGCUCACUGCAACCUCCCUGCCUGAUUCUCUUGCCUCAGCCUGCCGAGUGCCUGCGAUUGCAGGCGCGUGCCGCCACGCCUGACUGGUUUUCGUAUUUUUUUUGGUGGAGACGGGGUUUCGCUGUGUUGGCCGGGCUGGUCUCCAGCUCCUAACCACGAGUGAUCCGCCAGCCUCGGCCUCCCGAGGUGCCGGGAUUGCAGACGGAGUCUCGUUCAUUCAGUGCUCAAUGGUGUCCAGGCUGGAGUGCAGUGGCGUGAUCUCGGCUCGCUACAACCUCCACCUCCCAGCAACCCGCCUUGGCCUCCCAAAGUGCCGAGAUUGCAGCCUCUGCCCGGCGGCCACCCCGUCUGGGAAGUGAGGAGCGUCUCCGCCUGGCCGCCCAUCAUCUGGGAUGUGAGGAGCCCCUCUGCCUGGCUGCCCAGUCUGGAAAGUGAGGAGCGUCUCUGCCCGGCCGCCAUCCCAUCUAGGAAGUGAGGAGCGCCUCUUCCCGGCCGCCAUCACAUCUGGGAAGUGAGGAGCGUCUCUGCCCGGCCGCCCAUCGUCUGAGAUGUGGGGAGCAUCUCUGCCCUGCCGCCCCGUCCGGGAUGUGAGGAGCGUCUCUGCCCGGCCGCCCCGUCUGAGAAGUGAGGAGACCCUCUGCCUGGCAACUGCCCCGUCUGAGAAGUGAGGAGCCCCUCCGCCCGGCAGCCGCCCCGUCUGAGAAGUGAGGAGCCCCUCCGCCCAGCAGCCACCCCGUCUGGGAAGUGAGGAGCAUCUCCGCCCGGCAGCCGCCCCGUCUGAGAAGUGAGGAGCCUCUCCGCCCAGCAGCCACCUCGUCCGGGAGGGAGGUGGGGGGGUCAGCCCCCCGCCCGGCCAGCCGCCCCGUCCGGGAGGGAGGUGGGGGGAUCAGUCCCCCACCCGGCCAGCCGCCCUGUCCGGGAGAUGAGGGGCGCCUCUGCCCGGCCGCCCCUACUGGGAAGUGAGGAGCCCUUCUGCCCGGCCAGCCGCUCCGUCCGGGAGGGAGGUGGGGGGGUCAGCCCCCCGCCCGGCCAGCCGCCCUGUCCGGAAGGGAGGUGGGGGGGUCAGCCCCCCGCGCGGCCAGCCGACCCGUCCGGGAGGGAGGUGGGGGGGUCAGCCCCCUGCCCGGCCAGCCGCCCCGUCCGGGAGGUGCGGGGCGCCUCUGCCCGGCCGCCCCUACUGGGAAGUGAGGAGCCCCUCUGCCCGGCCAGCCGCCCCAUCUGGGAGGGAGGUGGGGGGGUCAGCCCCCCGCCCUGCCAGCCGCCCUGUCCGGGAGGGAGGUGGGGGGGUCAGCCCCCCGCCUGGCCAGCCACCCCGUCCGGGAGGUGAGGGGCGCCUCUGCCCGGCCGCCCCUACUGGGAAGUGAGGAGCCCCUCUGCCUGGCCAGCCGCCCCGUCCAGGAGGGAGGUGGGGGGGGGGGUCAGCCCCCCGCCUGGCGAGCCGCCCUGUCCGGGAGGUGAGGGGCGCCUCUGCCCGGCCGCCCCUACUGGGAAAUGAGGAGCCCCUCUGCCCGGCCACCACCCCAUCUGGGAGGUGUACCCAACAGCUCGUUGAGAACGGGCCAUGAUGACAAUGGCGGUUUUGUGGAAUAGAAAGGGGGGAAAGAUGGGGAAAAGAUUGAGAAAUCGGAUGGUUGCCGUGUCUGUGUAGAAAGAGGUAGACGUGGGAGACUUUUCAUUUUGUUCUGUACUAAGAAAAAUUCUUCUGCCUUGGGAUCCUGUUGAUCUGUGACCUUACCCCCAACCCUGUGCUCUCUGAAACAUGUGCUGUAUCCACUCAGGGUUGAAUGGAUUAAGGGCGGU